RNAcentral lists this ribosomal RNA (253 nucleotides) under uncultured bacterium. RNAcentral's name for it is "partial 16S ribosomal RNA". It matches the Rfam family "Bacterial small subunit ribosomal RNA", at positions 524 to 776 of the family's 1533-position model. The record is from RNAcentral.
UACGUAGGGGGCAAGCGUUGUCCGGAAUCAUUGGGCGUAAAGAGCGUGUAGGCGGCCAGAUAAGUCCGCUGUGAAAUCUCGAGGCUCAACUUCGAGCUGUCGGUGGAAACUGUCUGGCUAGAGUCCGGAAGAGGAGAGUGGAAUUCCUGGUGUAGCGGUGAAAUGCGCAGAUAUCAGGAAGAACACCCGGGGCGAAGGCGGCUCGGUGGGACGGUACUGACGCUGAGACGCGAAAGCGUGGGGAGCGAACAGG